Molecule: ribosomal RNA, 492 nt
Filed under: uncultured bacterium
Lineage: Bacteria
Description: partial 16S ribosomal RNA
Rfam family: Bacterial small subunit ribosomal RNA
Source: RNAcentral
AGUGAACGCUGGCGGUAGGCCUAACACAUGCAAGUCGAACGGCAGCACAGUAAGAGCUUGCUCUUACGGGUGGCGAGUGGCGGACGGGUGAGGAAUACAUCGGAAUCUACUUUUUCGUGGGGGAUAACGUAGGGAAACUUACGCUAAUACCGCAUACGACCUACGGGUGAAAGCAGGGGAUCUUCGGACCUCGCGCGAGUGAAGGAGCCGAUGUCGGAUUAGCUAGUUGGCGGGGUAAAGGCCCACCAAGGCGACGAUCCGUAGCUGGUCUGAGAGGAUGGUCAGCCACACUGGAACUGAGAAACGGUCCAGACUCCUACGGGAGGCAGCAGUGGGGAAUAUUGGACAAUGGGCGCAAGCCUGAUCCAGCCAUACCGCGUGGGUGAAGAAGGCCUUCGGGUUGUAAAGCCCUUUUGUUGGGAAAGAAAAGCAGCAGGUUAAUACCCCGCUGUUCUGACGGUACCCAAAGAAUAAGCACCGGCUAACUUCGUG